UCUCUUCAAAAAUUGUUUGUGUGUUCUUCUCCGACGUUAGAGAGAGAAAGGAGAAAAGGCGAAAAUCAUAGAGAAUAACAAUUAUUUUUUUUGAUCCAAACGUUUGAACUGUUUUUCUCUUCGACCACUGGUUAGAUCUGCUGUGAAUUUCUUCAGAAAAUCUGAGGAGGAAAAAUAAUUGAAAGAAGCUAUGAAGAGAUUAAGGGAGGAUGGAUAUGCUAAUCCUCAAUUUAAGCGGCCAUUUGGUUCAUCGAAGGGAGAAUCGUACGGCCAAUCACAGCUUCCUGGAAGUGGCGCUGGUGGUGGUGACGGCACCGGGGGAGGGGGUACUGGUGCCAGUGCUAGUACCCAAAAGUUGACAACUAAUGAUGCAUUGUCUUACUUGAAGGAAGUUAAGGACAUGUUUCAAGACCAAAG
RNAcentral lists this unclassified non-coding RNA (417 nucleotides) under Hevea brasiliensis (rubber tree). The record is from RNAcentral. Lineage: Eukaryota; Viridiplantae; Streptophyta; Magnoliopsida; Malpighiales; Euphorbiaceae.